Molecule: unclassified non-coding RNA, 148 nt
Organism: Macaca fascicularis (crab-eating macaque)
Lineage: Eukaryota; Metazoa; Chordata; Mammalia; Primates; Cercopithecidae
Rfam family: Metazoan signal recognition particle RNA
About the family: The signal recognition particle (SRP) is a universally conserved ribonucleoprotein.
Source: Ensembl
GCUGGGUGUGGUGAUGCAAGCCUGUAAUCCCAGCUACUCAGGAGGCUGAGGCAGGAGAAUUGCUUGAACCCAGGAGUUGGAGGUUGCAGUGAGCCGAAAUUGUGCCACUGCACUCCAGCCUGGGUGACAGAGCAAGACUCUGACUCAA